ACGCAGCAGCAAUCAGGCUCACUGGACUUACUUUUCAGAUCAGUUUAUGCCUUUGCAUCUUGCUGUUCCAGUUUCAAGAAGUUAAGGAAGAUAACUGGAGAUGUGAUAACGAUACCAGAAGACUGAGAAGAAACUGACCCUCAUUAGAAAGAUGAUGGAGACCACAUUUCCC
This is a long non-coding RNA of Perca fluviatilis (European perch), 172 nucleotides long. RefSeq lists it as uncharacterized. Lineage: Eukaryota; Metazoa; Chordata; Actinopteri; Perciformes; Percidae. The record is from RefSeq and is a predicted model, not a curated record. The transcript is spliced from 3 exons.